UACAUAGGGAGCAAGCGUUAUCCGGAAUUAUUGGGUGUAAAGGGUGCGUAGACGGGAAGACAAGUUAGUUGUGAAAUCCCUCGGCUUAACUGAGGAACUGCAACUAAAACUAUCAUUCUUGAGUGCAGGAGAGGAAAGUGGAAUUCCUAGUGUAGCGGUGAAAUGCGUAGAUAUUAGGAGGAACACCAGUGGCGAAGGCGACUUUCUGGACUGUAACUGACGUUGAGGCACGAAAGCGUGGGGAGCAAACA
This 251-nucleotide ribosomal RNA is filed under the name uncultured bacterium. RNAcentral's name for it is "partial 16S ribosomal RNA". It matches the Rfam family "Bacterial small subunit ribosomal RNA", at positions 524 to 774 of the family's 1533-position model. The record is from RNAcentral.